Long non-coding RNA from Harpia harpyja (harpy eagle), 4205 nucleotides. RefSeq lists it as uncharacterized. The record is from RefSeq and is a predicted model, not a curated record. The transcript has 3 exons. NCBI's taxonomy places the organism in Eukaryota, Metazoa, Chordata, Aves, Accipitriformes, Accipitridae.
AAAGGUCUCCCUCUUCUGCUGGCGGUGCAAGAGUGUGCCCUGUGACAGCUGGGUGCUCUCUUGCUGGCACCCCUGGGAGGCUGCCACAGAAGGGAAGGAGAUGCUGGUUCACGGUCUGUUUCCGCACAUCUGCAUUUGCCAUGCAGCCUGUUCUACAGUCAGCCGUGAUAAAAGUCACCAUCUUUGUUUCCAGUGGUACUGAAACUCUGUCCACACGGUGGUCAAAGGGUAGGUAUCAUUUGACAUUUCAUGUUUUGUAGUUUUCAGUGUAGAAAACAUUUAACAAUCUAGGGGUUUUAAUGGUAUUUAGCAUAAGCAGAGCCACUUUACAGCCAUUUUACAAAACAUCCUUUAAGUUCUAUACUUUUCUGCUUCAAUACAGAGAAAUUUCUCACCACCUUAGACUCUUGCCCUUUCAUAUUUCCUAGGUUUUUUUAAAGGAGAUUGUCCUUAACAAUUUUUUUGCUUCUCUUCCUUGCUCCUUAUAAAAUCUUGUGAUAUGCAAGGUACGGUUUUGCAGUAGGCAGCUGGAAACAUAAAGCGAUCAGUAUUAACUGAUGCAUGAGGAAAGGUGAAGUAUUGAUAGCUCUAAGGUUUCUGUACUUUCUUCUCUUUUGAAGUAUGUUUUGCCAUCUUAAAAGUACUUUCACUGUUUAACUGUUUCUUUUUUUAUCCCUAAGCUAUGUUUUAAAUUGAACUAGAAAUUGCAUCUCCUUGCAUCAAAUAGAGUACUUAACUUUCAUUAGUCAGAGGUGAUUAUCAGAAUUUUUCAGAGUUUUUGUGGCACAUGUGAUUGAUAUGUGGAAUAUUGAAAAGAAACUUCUGCUGGACAGCCAUUGCUACUGAGCCACAACUUUCCAUUCUGUCAGCUCCAGCCUGACUUUGAUCUUCACAUUCCAGGGGAAUACAGCAAGAUAGCACAAACCAUGUUUUAUUCCUUACUCUUUAGAUUCCCCUCACCGCAUCCCUCUAUGUUUUUCCAGCUAUUUUUAGAUUCUUGUGUCCUUGCCUCCCUAGAGCUAUUUUGGGUAAAAAUCACUUAGUUUCCUAUGAAAUUUGCCUGAGAAAUACUGCAGGACAAGACCCAGGUAAGCACCUCCUGCAGAAUACUAAUUUAUACUCCUGUUCAUGUGUAUGUAUAUAUAAUAUAUGAAAUUGCCAUUAUGUGUUCUACUGGCUAGAGCCAGGGGUAGCUGUCAGCAGACCUGAAUCUCUAAAAUCUCGUUCCAAGGCUGUAGCUUGGUCUUAGUAAGUUUCUUAACCUCCCCCAUCCUCAGUUUCCUUACUCAGGAAUAAACAGUAUUAACUUGUCUUUCUAAGGUGCUUUAACACUUUGGAUGGAAGGUUUUCUCAAAGUGCAUCGUGGUUUUGCUUUGUAUGGUGAUGCUGUUAGCUGGGCAUCUUGCAACCAUUGUGCCAAAAUAACAGAAAGCAAUGCUUGUAUUUUUCUGUUCUUAGUUGGAGAUUUUCUUUAUCAUUCUGAAUUCCAGUUGCACGUAUCGCGGCAUAAGAGCUGUUGUGGAAGGUGGCAAAGCUGAGCUACAGGAGUGUGUGGACCACACCUGAACGAGACAUAAACAGUGUGUGGCAAUAAUGGGGUAAGAUUGUGUGGCUAUAAUAGUGGAGAAAUGUAUAUAAAUUACAGAGGCUGUUAAUAUGUUUUGGAGAGCUUUAAGGACUUUGUUUAGCUGGUUGAAAGUAGUCGUUCAUGAUAAAGCAGAACUCAUAGCUUCCUUAAUGGUUCUCUUGACCUGUUCUCUGGAGCAGUAAGAUUUGGAAAGCCCCAGAACCAGUUUGAGCCAGAAAAAGGAGACAUAGUAACCACUAGCCUAAAAAAAAGGAAGGAGAAAGAACCCGCCUAGAGAAGAGAAAAAGGAGCCAGCGAGAGAGAGAAGACCCCAGAGCCAAACAUUACUAUUGGACCAGACUCUGGUGUGAGGGGCAGGAACUUAAGAUUGCAAGGGUGGAACUGCCCACGGAAUUUAGUGUUUGGGGUCCUGCUCUGGAGGCACACAGCUCAAGCUGUCUAAAUUUGUGCUUUUUAUUUUGAAGGCCUUGAUUAGAGAUUCUACGUCGGGGAACCUAGGGUCGAGCCUGAGGGAAGACCCAGCACCCGAGGGCGAGCGUGUGUGAGGAGUCGGAAGGGGCACCUGCUGGCUCGCUGGGGUCGCAGCCUGGGCAGUUCAAGCCUCGGGUGGCUCGUGUGUGACUCCUUGACUGGGGUGGGAAUGCUCAGGCAGCGGCUUCUCCCUUAACAAGAGCUAUGGUUCUUCGAGAUGACAAAUAGCUACUCUGACGAAGCCAAGCAUAAAAGCAUAAGAUCAUCAGUUUAUUUAAGAAUUACUUCUAUGUGCCACUGAAAUACAGCCACUUCUGAAGACAGACAGACCAGCCACUUACAGAAACUGAAGUGUGUCUCGGCCAACUGAAAUGACAGGGGAACUGAAAUGCUGUGCUGUGGAAGGCACUAAUGUCAAGAGCUCAGCAGAAACAUCCCAGGGAACAGCAACAUUCUGGGCUGUACAAUGUUCUGCUCCUGUCCCCACAGCUACAUAAAUUUUUCUCCAUUACAAAUUCCUUCCUACCCAUGUUUCUUUUCAUCUUUCCUCUGUUUUUCUGUGCUGCCUAUUCAUUUAUUUUCAUCUCCCGUUUUAAUCUUCUUAGUCCUUCAAAUAUGCUGUAUGUGCCCUCUAAAGGAGCGGUUCAUACACAGCAGAGCCUGCAAUUUCUUAAAAGCAACAGGACCUGUUCAUGAGGCUGAAUUUUGCUAGCAUCCAAGUGCCCUUGAUUCACACUGGGAGUUCAGGGUGCCCAUGACUGAGUCCACUAUAAACUUGUUACAAUGUCAUUAAUGUCUCAAAUGCCUUGAGAAUAUUUCAGGAGCCAAGACUGAGCCUGGUGCCUGUGCAGAAAAAGAAAUGCUUUCAUCACAUGCACAGCUAUAUGCCUCUUGCUCCAGAUGGGUGAUGCAGAACCAGAAAGAGCAGCUUGCCUGAAACUGCACAGCAAGUGUCAGGAAAGGAAUGGGACCCUGGCUCCCCAUGGCAGAACUGGCCAGACUGAAGCAGAGGAGGUAAACUGUUCCUCAAAACUAGGGACUGCAUGUGGCCUAACACUGAAAGAGUAAUCCAGGAAAGGAGAUGGCAGUGUGCAUUCCUUGUGCACAGGGUCUGACUCUUAGGGCUGAUGGUGGCCCGUGCUACAGUGCAACUACAGCUUUGUUAAUUUUCAUGCCUUUGAAAAUACUGGGCAUACAGAUAAUCCUUUGCACUUUUCUUGAAGGGUUCAAAUGCUUAAUUCACCUUCUCACUUUGCUCUACUCUGGGUGAACAGACUGUAACACAUCAGAACUGGCAGGGUAUCCCCCCUUGUUAUCCUUCCUUCUUGUUCUGGCAGAGGCAGAGUCUCUGGCAGAGACUUUGAGGAUGAAGAGAAAAGGACCUUUAAUGGUAAGAAACUGACCAAGUUACUGUGUGCUCUAGUGCUAGCGUGCAUCAAUCAAGAUCUCAGAUACGUAGUUUGACCCACUAUAGCUGAACAGGGUUCUGCAAGCAACCAUGUGGUGUAUGACAAAGGCAGCAAAUGCCAAGCAAAGAUACAGUCACCGUCAGCGAAGAGGAUACAACAGUUUCCUCUAACACCGGUUCUGCCUUUGUUGUGCAGCCCAGAAAAGAAAAGUCCAUGCUCUUGAGUCCUACCUGUCCACAACAGGAUCGAGCCCAGCUCCAAGCUUUGGUGUGUAUGUAUAGUAUUUGUGAAGCUAGAAAAAAUCUCAUCAUGAGUUACUGCACAAUAAACCUACCUCUUCAUUUGUACCUAAGUGGAUACCCUGUUCCAUUUUUACAGCAGCAUAUUUUGUAAGUAAAAAAUAGGAGUUCAUUAAAAAUAGAUGUAUUUCUUGCUAGGAAGUCUUUGGUUUAAAUGCCCAUUUUCAAACAUUAUAUAUGAAAAUGCUCAAGUCCUGCAGUGGGUCACUUACUAAAAAUUUGAUUUGAAGAUCAGCCUACAAGUCAUAAACAGUCUCAUAAAGAUAUAACUAUCAUAAUAACUUUCCUUUUCCCAGUUGGAAAUACAAGAUGAACUGUUCUGAAGCACCUAAUGUAUGACUAAUGUUUAUUUGUUUUACAAGAAGCUUUACAGCUGCAGUGUUCCAAGAAUGCUUAAAUUCAAUAAACAGCUAUUAUAAUUCACUGAAUGGUGGCAUU